UACGUAGGGGACGAGCGUUGUCCGGAAUUACUGGGCGUAAAGGGCGCGCAGGCUGUAGAUCAAGUCAGCUGUGAAAUGUCUGGGCUUAACCCGGGCAUGCGGUUGAAACUGAUGUACUGGAGUGCUGUAGAGGCAAGUGGAAUUCCCAGUGUAGCGGUGAAAUGCGUAGAUAUUGGGAAGAACACCGGUGGCGAAGGCGACUUGCUGGGCAGCAACUGACGCUGAGGCGCGAAAGCCCAGGGGAGCAAACGGGGAUUAGAUACCCCCGUA
This 270-nucleotide ribosomal RNA is filed under the name uncultured prokaryote. Its description in RNAcentral is "partial 16S ribosomal RNA". It matches the Rfam family "Bacterial small subunit ribosomal RNA", at positions 524 to 792 of the family's 1533-position model. The record is from RNAcentral.